This 671-nucleotide ribosomal RNA is filed under the name uncultured Bacteroidales bacterium. RNAcentral describes it as "bacterial SSU rRNA". It matches the Rfam family "Bacterial small subunit ribosomal RNA", at positions 66 to 725 of the family's 1533-position model. The record is from RNAcentral. Lineage: Bacteria; Pseudomonadati; Bacteroidota; Bacteroidia; Bacteroidales.
GGGCAGCGAUGAAGAAAGCUUGCUUUCUUCAGGCGGCGACCGGCGCACGGGUGAGUAACGCGUAUCGAACCUGCCUCAUACUCAGGAAUAGCCUUGCGAAAGUAAGAUUAAUGCCCGAUGUUAUUAGAGUAUCACAUGAUGCUUUAAUUAAAGAUUUAUCGGUAUGAGAUGGCGAUGCGUCCCAUUAGUUUGUUGGCGGGGUAACGGCCCACCAAGACAUCGAUGGGUAGGGGUUCUGAGAGGAAGGUCCCCCACAUUGGAACUGAGACACGGUCCAAACUCCUACGGGAGGCAGCAGUGAGGAAUAUUGGUCAAUGGACGCAAGUCUGAACCAGCCAAGUAGCGUGCAGGAAGACGGCCCUCUGGGUUGUAAACUGCUUUUAGUUGGGAAUAAAGUGCACCACGUGUGGUGUUUUGUAUGUACCAUCAGAAAAAGGACCGGCUAAUUCCGUGCCAGCAGCCGCGGUAAUACGGAAGGUCCAGGCGUUAUCCGGAUUUAUUGGGUUUAAAGGGAGCGCAGGCGGACCUUUAAGUCAGCUGUGAAAUACGGCGGCUCAACCGUCGAACUGCAGUUGAUACUGGAGGUCUUGAGUGCACACAGGGAUACUGGAAUUCAUGGUGUAGCGGUGAAAUGCUCAGAUAUCAUGAAGAACUCCGAUCGCGAAGGCAGG